RNAcentral lists this ribosomal RNA (492 nucleotides) under uncultured bacterium. RNAcentral describes it as "partial 16S ribosomal RNA". It matches the Rfam family "Bacterial small subunit ribosomal RNA", at positions 29 to 507 of the family's 1533-position model. The record is from RNAcentral.
AGUGAACGCUGGCGGUAGGCCUAACACAUGCAAGUCGAACGGCAGCACAGUAAGAGCUUGCUCUUACGGGUGGCGAGUGGCGGACGGGUGAGGAAUACAUCGGACUCUACUUUUUCGUGGGGGAUAACGUAGGGGAACUUACGCUCAUACCGCAUACGACCUACGGGUGAAAGCAGGGGAUCUUCUGACCUUGCGCGAUUGAAUGAGCCGAUGUCGGUUUAGCUAGUUGGCGGGGUAAAGGCCCACCAAGGCGGCGAUCCGUAGCUGGUCUGAGAGGAUGGUCAGCCACACUGGAACGGAGACACGGUCAAGACUCCUAAGGGAGGCAGCAGUGGGGAAUAUUGGACAAUGGGGGCAAGCAUGAUCCAGCCAUACCGAGUGGGUGAAGAAGGCCUUCGGGUUGUAAAGCCCUUUUGUUGGGAAAGAAAAGCAGCAGGUUAAUACGCCGCUGUUCUGACGGUACCCAAAGAAUAAGCACCGGCUAACUUCGUG